UUUUCACUGAAAAGAAUUUCUACAAAAUCGCAUUUCUCAUCUUCCCGGAGCUCUACUCAGUUCUCCGAUCAUCACCGUCAAAAUGUACAGAUGCGUAUCGUCUCGUCUCAGCUCUCUUAAGGCACGUCAAGGCAACAGGGUCUUGACAAGAUUUUCAAGUUCAGCUGCUGUUGCAACCAAGCCAUCUGGGGGUCUUUUUAGUUGGAUAACUGGUGAUACGUCAAGUUCAGUGACUCCCUUGGACUUUCCCCUCAAUGAUGUUAAACUCUCGCCACCAUUACCUGAUUAUGUAGAACCUGCAAAGACUCGGAUAACGACUCUCGCUAAUGGUGUCAAAGUGGCCUCUGAAGCAUCGGUGAAUCCUGCUGCCUCAAUUGGCCUCUAUGUUGACUGUGGCUCUAUUUACGAGACACCAGCUUCAUAUGGAGCCACCCACCUCUUGGAACGCAUGGCCUUCAAAAGCACGUUAAACCGGAGUCACUUGCGUAUUGUACGAGAAAUUGAAGCAAUUGGUGGUAAUGUAACAGCUUCAGCCUCACGAGAGCAUAUGAUCUACACUUACGAUGCUUUGAAAACUUAUGUACCACAAAUGGUGGAGAUGCUUGUUGACUGUGUUAGAAAUCCUGCAUUCCUGGAUUGGGAAGUUAAAGAGCAGCUUGAGAAGGUUAAAGCUGAGAUUAGCGAGUACUCCAAAAACCCUCAACACUUGCUUUUGGAGGCAGUUCAUUCUGCUGGUUAUGCUGGUCCAUAUGGGAAUUCUCUGAUGGCCACAGAAGCUACAAUAAACAGGUUAAACAGCACAGUGCUGGAGGAGUUUGUAGCUGCGAAUUAUACUGCUCCUCGGAUGGUUCUUGCUGCAUCUGGUGUUGAACAUGAAGAAUUCUUAAAAGUUGCAGAACCUCUUCUGUCUGAUUUACCUAAGGUGUCUGCCACUGAGGAGCCUAAACCUGUGUAUGUGGGAGGAGAUUACCGCUGUCAAGCCGAUGCAGAGAUGACUCAUUUUGCCCUUGCCUUUGAAGUUCCCGGUGGCUGGAUGUCUGAAAAAGAAUCAAUGACUUUAACAGUUCUUCAGAUGCUUAUGGGAGGAGGUGGAUCUUUCUCAGCUGGCGGUCCUGGAAAAGGGAUGUACUCGAGAUUAUAUCUUCGUGUCUUAAAUCAGUACCCGCAGAUUCACGCAUUCUCUGCAUUCAGCAGCAUUUACAAUAACACUGGAUUAUUUGGAAUUCAAGGAACUACGGGCUCUGAUUUUGGGCCUCAAGCUGUUGAUGUAGCAGUUAAAGAGCUUAUCGCGGUAGCAAACCCUAGUGAAGUCGACCAAGUACAGCUAAACCGUGCUAAACAGGCAACAAAGUCUGCCAUUCUGAUGAACUUGGAAUCCCGGAUGGUUGCAUCAGAAGAUAUCGGCAGACAACUUUUGACAUAUGGAGAGAGGAAACCAGUGGAGCAUUUCUUGAAAGCCAUUGAUGCAGUUUCAGCAAAAGAUAUUGCUUCCGUUGUGCAGAAGCUUAUUUCUUCUCCUCUGACCAUGGCAUCCUACGGAGAUGUUCUCUCCCUCCCAUCAUACGAUGCAGUCAGCAGCAGGUUCCGUUCCAAAUAAAUCCAUUGUCAACCACGAAGUACACAGCAAGACUAUCAUGCUGUUAUUUUUUAGGUUUUUAGAAAAUCUUUACGCGUGUGGCUAUAAUUUGCUGAAAAUAAAGAGGGGUUACGAGCUAUCGAUAAUUCAGCUUUGUCAAAGCUUUAAGAUAAGGAGCAUCAUCAUCUGGGCACAUGGUUUUUGUGUAUACAGUUUGUAAUUCAUUCAGCUUUCUUUGAUAUUUUGAUGACAUAAUGUCAUAGGGCAUUACUCCUCUAGUUAACAAUUUUGAGAAUUCCUCUUCACCCAAAAUGGGAAGAAAUACUAAUUUUAUCUCAAUAUUGUGAAUCCAAUGAAUUUUAUAACCAAG
This 1946-nucleotide unclassified non-coding RNA is filed under the name Hevea brasiliensis (rubber tree). The record is from RNAcentral. Lineage: Eukaryota; Viridiplantae; Streptophyta; Magnoliopsida; Malpighiales; Euphorbiaceae.